Molecule: ribosomal RNA, 38 nt
Filed under: Kingiodendron platycarpum
Lineage: Eukaryota; Viridiplantae; Streptophyta; Magnoliopsida; Fabales; Fabaceae
Description: partial 26S ribosomal RNA
Source: RNAcentral
GCGACCUCAGCUCAGGCGGGGCCACCCGCUGAGUUUAA